UAGGGAAUCUUCGGCAAUGGGCGAAAGCCUGACCGAGCAACGCCGCGUGAAUGAUGAAGGCCUUCGGGUUGUAAAAUUCUGUUAUAAGGGAAGAAUGGCUCUAGUAGGAAAUGGCUAGAGUGUGACGGUACCUUAUGAGAAAGCCACGGCUAACUACGUGCCAGCAGCCGCGGUAAUACGUAGGUGGCGAGCGUUAUCCGGAAUUAUUGGGCGUAAAGAGCGCGCAGGUGGUUGAUUAAGUCUGAUGUGAAAGCCCACGGCUUAACCGUGGAGGUUCAUUUGAAACUGGUGAGCUUGAGUGCAGAAGAGGGAAGUGGAAUUCCAUGUGUAGCGGUGAAAUGCGUAGAGAUAGGGAGGAACACCAGUGGCGAAGGCGGCUUCCUGGUCUGUAACUGACACUGAGGCGCGAAAGCGUGGGGAGCAAACA
Molecule: ribosomal RNA, 427 nt
Filed under: uncultured prokaryote
Description: bacterial SSU rRNA
Rfam family: Bacterial small subunit ribosomal RNA
Source: RNAcentral